RNAcentral lists this ribosomal RNA (253 nucleotides) under uncultured bacterium. RNAcentral describes it as "partial 16S ribosomal RNA". It matches the Rfam family "Bacterial small subunit ribosomal RNA", at positions 524 to 776 of the family's 1533-position model. The record is from RNAcentral.
UACGGAGGGUGCAAGCGUUAUCCGGAAUCACUGGGUUUAAAGGGUGCGUAGGCGGCUUGAUAAGUCAGGGGUGAAAGCCCGCAGCUUAACUGCGGAACUGCCUUUGAUACUGUCGAGCUUGAAAGAGGUUGAGGUCAGCGGAACGUGACAUGUGGCGGUGAAAUGCAUAGAUAUGUCCCAGAACACCGAUUGCGAAGGCAGCUGGCUGGACCUACUUUGACGCUGAGGGACGAAAUCGUGGGGAGUGAACAGG